GAUGAAGAACGCAGCGAAAUGCGAUAAGUAAUGCGAAUUGCAGAAUUCAGUGAGUCAUCGAAUCUUUGAACGCACAUUGCGCCCUGUGGUAUUCCGCAGGGCAUGCCUGUUCGAGCGUCAUUUCAACCCUCAAGCCUCGCUUGGUGUUGGGCCCUGCCCGCCGCGGCCGGCCCUAAAGAUAGUGGCGGCGCCGCCUGGCCCUCAGCGUAGUACAGCUCUCGCUCCAGGGUCCGGCGGCAGCCUGCCAGAACCCCCCAACUAUGUGGUUGACCUCGGAUCAGGUAGGGAUACCCGCUGAACUUAAGCAUAUCAAUAAGCGGAGGA
Molecule: unclassified non-coding RNA, 324 nt
Filed under: soil metagenome
Description: partial contains 5.8S ribosomal RNA, internal transcribed spacer 2, and large subunit ribosomal RNA
Rfam family: 5.8S ribosomal RNA (bases 1-120)
Source: RNAcentral